GGCGAUCAGAUACCGCCCUAGUUCUGACCGUAAACGAUGCCAACUAGCGAUCCGCCAGUCGACUCAUCGCUCUGGUGGGGAGCUUCCCGGAAACGAAAGUCUUCCGGUUCCGGGGGAAGUAUGGUUGCAAAGCUGAAACUUAAAGGAAUUGACGGAAGGGCACUACCAGGAGUGGAGCCUGCGGCUUAAUUUGACUCAACACGGGGAAACUCACCCGGCCCGGACACCGUAAGGAUUGACAGAUUGAUAGCUUUUUCAUGAUUCGGUGGAUGGUGGUGCAUGGCCGUUCUUAGUUCGUGGAGCGAUUUGUCUGGUUUAUUCCGAUAACGAGCGAGACUCUGGCCUACUAAAUAGUUGACGCAUUGCCACUGUGCGCACAACUUCUUAGAGGGAUUUUCGGUGUUUUCAACCGCACGAAAUUGAGCAAUAACAGGUCUGUGAUGCCCUUAGAUGUCCGGGGCUGCACGCGCGCUACACUGGCAAACGCAACGUGCCUGUCCUGCCCCGAAAGGAGCGGGUAAACCCCUGAAAUUUUGCCGUGAUUGGGAUCGGACAUUGCAACUAUUGUCCGUGAACGAGGAAUUCCUUGUAGGGGCGAGUCAUCAACUCGUCCCGAAUACGUCCCUGCCCUUGUA
This 635-nucleotide ribosomal RNA is filed under the name Rotylenchulus reniformis. Its description in RNAcentral is "SSU rRNA". It matches the Rfam family "Eukaryotic small subunit ribosomal RNA", at positions 1003 to 1664 of the family's 1831-position model. Lineage: Eukaryota; Metazoa; Nematoda; Chromadorea; Rhabditida; Hoplolaimidae. The record is from RNAcentral.